AGUAAGCCUCUCCCGUAGUAAGGCAACGGGUUUUGGUCCCGCUAUUCGGAGGUUCGAAUCCUUCCGUCCCAG
This 72-nucleotide transfer RNA is filed under the name Apostasia shenzhenica. RNAcentral's name for it is "tRNA-Gln". The record is from RNAcentral. RNAcentral also lists the same sequence under 1 other name. Lineage: Eukaryota; Viridiplantae; Streptophyta; Magnoliopsida; Asparagales; Orchidaceae.